Humulus lupulus (European hop) is the source of this 1318-nucleotide long non-coding RNA. RefSeq lists it as uncharacterized. The transcript has 3 exons. Lineage: Eukaryota; Viridiplantae; Streptophyta; Magnoliopsida; Rosales; Cannabaceae. The record is from RefSeq and is a predicted model, not a curated record.
UCUUUUUCCUUUUUCUUCCCGAGCACUCUCUUCUUCUUCUUCUUCUUCUUCUCUCGGCAACCGAUGGCAAGACACCAGACCCAACCACCACUUUUGACACGCGGCAGCUCAUCGGUUUCGCCUUGCUCCGACGACCUCAACUGCCAAGCGGCACCGCCCAACUCGCCGUCAAUCGUUCGGAAUCGCCAGUCAAAGUUUUGGUCCGUCAACUUUGACUGUGUUUUUCGGCCAACUCCGACCACCUCUUGACGAGUGGUUGAUACCCUUGGAACCAGCGUGGAGAGAGGAGCAAAACCCACUAAUUCAUUCCGAUCAACUCGCCGUUUUUCUCUGGCAAGAUUUUGGGUAUCUCCGCCCUUUGGAAGCGUUUUCCGGCGACACCGGAGGUCAUUUGGGCGAAGAAGUUGUACUUUCGUGAUGUACUCAUCGAGAGGAUCGUUUUGAUAUAUGCCAUGCAUAUAUUCGUCGACGUUUCCGGUACCGCCACCAACUGCUAUAGUGCACCGCUUGGGAAAAACGUGAUAUUAAAAUCGGACUAAAUCAUUCUAAGAUCAUCGAUAAGCUUAGGAGCGUUGCUUUGGGCUCGGAUUAAAUUCUAAGGAGGUAUCUAAAGAGAAUAUGAACCAAUUCAUCCAAACACCAACUAGAAGAUGCAUAAUUUUUCGAGAAUACUAUGACAGAAAGGUUUGAGUCCUCAAUUGCUUUCAAGAGAGCAGAAGAAAUAUGAACCAACUAGAAGAUGCAUAAUUUUUCGAGAAUACUAUGACAGAAAGCUUUGAGUCCUCAAUUGCUUUCAAGAGAGCAGAAGAAAUCUCAUCACCUCUCUCCAGCAUCACAUCCAUGUAAACUUGUAAACUUUUAUGGGACAAUGCUUUGUGGAGAUGGCUAGUGAAUUUGUGACGGGUGUCCUCACCUCUAAAGCUUAUGAAAACGUCGUACUUAUUAUUCGUUGGUGCCAUAGUCAUGAUCUGAAGACAAACUCUCACAACACAGCACUUCUUCAAAAUGUGGAGUGCGUAUCUUCCAAGCUUUGUAAUCUUGUGUGAAAUUUCUUGGAAAUUUUGUGGAUGAUGAAGAAGAAGAAGAAGAAGAAGAAGCUACACCACUCAAUUAAUGAUAAGGUUUUCAUAUAUGCGCCAAAGUCUACUUUUGUCAAUUUUUGUUUUUUUUAUUAUUUACGUAGUUUUAAACUGCCACGUGCAAUAGCAUAUUAGACUAGUAUAAAUAUAUAUGGGGCGGCUAUGAUAAAUUCUAAAUUUUUUUAUAACAGGUAUUUAAUUUAUUGUAAUUAUAGUUCUCUUUUUACGGAAUAUACUAC